RNAcentral lists this long non-coding RNA (2563 nucleotides) under Drosophila guanche. Lineage: Eukaryota; Metazoa; Arthropoda; Insecta; Diptera; Drosophilidae. The record is from RNAcentral.
CGUGUGGCAGGAAAUUGCUGACCUGGCCUGACCCUCGGUCUCGGAGGGGGGGUCCGCUCCAGUACCACGAUCAUCCGUCCCUCUUUUUGGUGCCACCGGACCUUGCCUGCAGGCGAAAAAACGGAUGGACUUGGCGAUCGGGACCGAGUUGUUUAUAUACAUAUAUCUCACGCGCAACUAUAAAACCAUCUAUUAUAUUAUAUCACCGCGCCUUGUGUAAAGAAAUGUUGGUGCUUGCAUAUGUAGGGUGUGGAAAAAUUAGCUCAGCGGUCAUUGCCCUUGCGGCUGACCAUACACCUAUGCGCACUUAAAUAGACCCACCUGACCGUAUGUCACCUAUUCUCUCCUUCUCUCAGGUUAUUAAAAUUGUUCGAUGCCGACAUUCUAAAAGCCACUUAAGGGAAGAAAAGUGAAUCACAAAAAUCUAGAAAAGAAAACUUAAUGAAAAAUUAUGGAUAGAAGAAAAAAAAAUAGAAAAGAAAAUUGUUCAAUAAUAUUAAAUAUUCCUCUAGACAUUAACUUAGAAUAGAAGAAGAAAAACAUGAAAUUUAUGCGUAGUUAAUAAUAGAUUCUAAAGGGUGCAUUAUCGGUCUCAUUGUGUCCAUGGAAGGGUAUUGGUAAAAUACCUCUUCAUAACGCUUCUUGUUAUUUUGCAUAUUUCUACAUUUCUUUAACAGUUAGAACGUGAAAUUGGGCCCAACGACACCAACAGCUGUUUAAAAGUCUGUAAGUAGACACACAUAUACACACAUACACUCCGGGUCAGGAGAAUAGCGUCUACACAGUGAGACAUGCAUGCUUAACCAUAUAUAAAAUGAAUUAUUAUUAACUCUAAUCACUACAAUUAUGCCAUUUAAUUCAUUUAAUUAAUUAAUUCUUACUUUAUAUUUUGAUUAUAUUAUUUUUAUUCAUAUUUGAUCGUUCUCUUGAAUUCCUAUGUAUUAAAUUAGUCCCACAUACAUAAUACACAUGCAGUAAAAAUAGUUUUAAGGGUUAGGGUAGAAAUAAUGGGGGUUACAAACAACCUGAAGUCAUACAAGUCAAAGUAAAAUUAUAACGAUUUAACAUGAAUUUCUAAUCUGAUUUUUGGGAGGGGUUCCUAAGGCACAUAGGCAGCAGCGGCAGGUUUUGGGUAGAACCAUAAUGGCAUAUUCUUAUGUUAUUCUACAUGGAGGGUGGGUCAAGAGGGAAGAGCACAUCCACCUUGCUCUUCACAGUAGGUAGUGGACCUUAAGUUCCGUCCGGGUUUGUAAUUCCGAUCCCAGUUCCCGUAAAUCUGUCUACGAUUUUGUUAGGUGACGGAGUUCGUUUUCGCAGCACACCACCCACCCCAUUUUCCCUGAGCCUAGCCGGCAAACUUUUAGUAGACAGAGAGUGCUGACGAGACGACACUUCCCGUGUCCGUUACAAAGUCAACAUGAUUUCGUCGGGGGGGACUUCUCGCUUGACCAAAUUAACUCUGUCAGAAACAAUAGAGAUAGACUCUUAGAUCUCACCUUUGUCAGCGAUGCUUCUCUUGCAACGGUUGUAAGAGGCAAUCCGAUAUCUUUUCCUGAAGAUCCGCAACAUUCCACUUUAUCUGUAUUUGUCGAGUUAUCUAGUACUAACACCAUUUUACCUUCAAUGGUCGUAAAAAGUCGUAGCAAAACUAAUUUGAUACAGCUCUCGCAAGUUGACUGGUCCUUUCUUCAGUCCUCAGCAAAUACAAAGCCUACUGUCAAUUAGUUUAACGAAACAUUAUACUCUGGCCUCGAUACCUAUGUCCCUGAAGUCACCUGAAGUCAAGUAUAUGUUUUCUCUAAGCCCCCGUGUUUCCAAGUAUCUGUUUUACCUAAAAAACAAGAAGGAACGUGUGAGACGCUUCUUACGCGUCACAAAUUUAAUACCCGGUACUCAGAACUACGUCUGUACCUUAGUGCUUUUUUGUCAAACUUUACAUUUUACCUUUAUCGGUCAUCUACAUCUACAACACUUCUUACGCCAACACGCUCCUUUAGCUCGCUCCCCUUCCCUAGACCCACACACUGCAAACUCACGGCAGAGGCAGACGCAGCUGCGGGACGGGAUGAGUCAAAAAUCGGCAGAGCAGAGGCAGAGGGACGGCAGAGGCAUAGACCUCAUAAUGCAGAAGCAGAGUGUGAAUAAGAGAAUGUGAAGAAAACAAAUAUAAGCUGCGGGACGGGAUGGGUUUAGCCACUGCAAAUUAAUUUCUUCAUUAUGGCUAUAAAAUUGAUACAAUCUGAUCCCAAUUUGGUGAUCUGAUAGAUAGGGUCCUUCCCUACGAAAUGGCGUUUUCAGUUUUCUUGUAUCUUCAAAAUUGUAGCUUUGGGAGGGUUUCCCCCUUUUGCGGGGCCUAAGUGUGAGCAUACAGAAGUCUGUAUGCAACAUUUGGUGGCUCUAGCUUUUAUAGUCUCUGAGAGACCGCAUAGUCUCAACAAGACGGACGGACGGACAGACGGACGGACAGGCAGACAUGGCUAUAUCGACUCGGCUAUCGAUGCUGAUCAAGAAUAUAUAUACUUUGUGGGUUCGGAAACGUUUCCUUCUGUGCGUUACAUACAAC